AUGGUUCAAUUGUACGCUGCAGAGCAAGGGGAGCCAAUCAUCACCGAAGUGCCGGUGCCUGCUGAAGUUGAGGCCCUGAUCAGCGAGUUUGGACACCUGUUUGAGGAACCUAAAGGACUACCACCACAACGCUCUUUCGAUCACACAAUUCCUCUCCUGCCCGGGGCGAAACCUGUCAACGUGCGCCCAUAUCGAUACAGCCCGGCCCAGAAGGAUGAGAUUGAGAAACAGGUUGCAGACAUGCUUGCCCAAGGUAUUAUCACGCCCAGCUCCAACCCCUUUGCUUCACCAGUGCUGCUCGUUCAGAAGAAGGAUUUGUCUUGGCGUUUCUGCGUGGACUACCGACAACUCAAUGCAGUGACAGUCAAGAACCGCUAUCCUCUGCCUGUCAUCGAUGAGCUACUGGACGAGCUGGCGGGUUCCACGCUGUUCACUAGUCUAGAUCUCCGAGCCGGAUAUCAUCAGAUUCGGAUGAAGCCUGAAGAUGAACACAAGACCGCUUUCAAGACCCACCAUGGCCACUUUGAGUUCAAGGUUUUGGCGUACGGCCUUACGGGGGGACCGGCAACUUUCCAAGGAGGAAUG
Molecule: ribosomal RNA, 585 nt
Filed under: Triticum aestivum (bread wheat)
Lineage: Eukaryota; Viridiplantae; Streptophyta; Magnoliopsida; Poales; Poaceae
Description: partial small subunit ribosomal RNA
Source: RNAcentral